GGACUACUAGGGUAUCUAAUCCUGUUUGCUCCCCGCGCUUUCGUGCCUCAGCGUCAGUUACAGUUUAGCGAGCUGCCUACGCAAUCGGUGUUCUGUGUCAUAUCUAAGCAUUUCACCGCUACAUGACACAUUCCGCCCACUUCAAAUGUACUCAAGACCAUCAGUAUCAAUGGCAAUUCUACAGUUAGGCUGCAGGAUUUCACCACUGACUUAAUAGUCCGCCUACGCACCCUUUAAACCCAAUAAAUCCGGAUAACGCUUGGGACCUUCGUAUUACCGCGGCUGCUGGCAC
Molecule: ribosomal RNA, 292 nt
Filed under: uncultured bacterium
Lineage: Bacteria
Also listed under: 1 other name
Description: partial 16S ribosomal RNA
Source: RNAcentral